Molecule: transfer RNA, 72 nt
Organism: Ovis aries (sheep)
Lineage: Eukaryota; Metazoa; Chordata; Mammalia; Artiodactyla; Bovidae
Rfam family: tRNA
About the family: Transfer RNA (tRNA) molecules are approximately 80 nucleotides in length. Their secondary structure includes four short double-helical elements and three loops (D, anti-codon, and T loops).
Source: Rfam
UCCCAUUUGGCUCAGAUGGUAAAGAAUCUGCCUGCAAUGCAGGAGACCCAGGUUCAAUCCCUGGGUUGGGAA